GGAGCGCCUGGACUGCUGAAGUUCAGCAGUUGACGAGGACCGGGCCGAUCGAAAUAUUCGGCGGAUGGCCCGGAGGCUGGAUACGGCCUGAACAAUGGGAAAAAACAGUCCGUGAGGGCUGAACAGAU
RNAcentral lists this non-coding RNA (128 nucleotides) under uncultured Bulleidia sp. RNAcentral describes it as "glmS glucosamine-6-phosphate activated ribozyme". It matches the Rfam family "glmS glucosamine-6-phosphate activated ribozyme aptamer", at positions 12 to 149 of the family's 167-position model. From Rfam's summary of the family: This entry contains a glucosamine-6-phosphate activated ribozyme that is found in the mRNA for GlmS. GlmS is an enzyme that uses fructose-6-phosphate and glutamine to generate glucosamine-6-phosphate. The record is from RNAcentral. Lineage: Bacteria; Bacillati; Bacillota; Erysipelotrichia; Erysipelotrichales; Erysipelotrichaceae.